This 387-nucleotide ribosomal RNA is filed under the name Triticum aestivum (bread wheat). RNAcentral's name for it is "partial small subunit ribosomal RNA". The record is from RNAcentral. Lineage: Eukaryota; Viridiplantae; Streptophyta; Magnoliopsida; Poales; Poaceae.
AUGUCAGACCCAAACCGGUACCGAAGAGAGAAAAGAAAAAACAUGACCGCCCUGCACGACCCUGCCUCGUCGAUCUCAUCUCCACCUCCAUCCCCAAACGACGGCGAUGAUCGAGGGCGCCGCCCCAGCUCCUGGCUGACGGAUUCGCCGGCUCCCCGCUCCUUGGGGCUAGCCCCUCCCACGGCGACGAUGGAGGGCGCUGCCCAGUUCCCGGCCGAUGGAUAUGCCGGCUCCCCUCUUCUCGGGGCCAGCCCCUCCCCCGUGCCGGGUCGAGCCUCGGCUUGGAGGCCCUUGGGGCUGCCGUCGGUGCGGGAGUCCCGCGCGGCCAUGCGGGCUGGGGACCGAGCGGCGGGCUGGCCACCUGUGCCCUGUCUACCCUGCUGCUGA